Molecule: long non-coding RNA, 2121 nt
Filed under: Homo sapiens (human)
Lineage: Eukaryota; Metazoa; Chordata; Mammalia; Primates; Hominidae
Description: HSALNT0139894
Source: RNAcentral
UCAAAUGGUAGUUCUACAUUUAGUUCUUAAAGGAAUAUCCACACUGUUUUCCAUAGCAGCUAUACUAGUUUACACUCCCACCAGCAGUAUAAAAGUGUUCCCUGCAGCCACACCACCAUCUACUGUUUUAUUGAUUUUUUGAUUAUGGCUACUCUUGCAGGAGUGAGGUGGUAUCGCAUUGAAGUUUUGAUUUGCAUUUCCUUUAUCAUUAGUGAUGUUGAGCAUCUUUUCAUAUGUUUGUUGGACAUUUGUAUAUCUUCUUUUGGGAAUUGUCUAUUCAUGUCCUUAGACCACUUUUUGAUGGGAUGGUUUUUUUUCUUACUGUUGUAUUUGAGUUUGUUGUAGAUUCUGGAUAUUAGUCCUUUGUCAGAUGCAUAGAUUGUGAAGAUUUUCUCCCACUCUGUGGGUUGUCUGUUUACUCUGCUGACUGUUCCUUUUGCUGUGCAAAUGCUCUUUAGUUUAAUUAGGUCCGAGCUAUUUAUCUUUGUUUUUACUGCAUUUGCUUUUGGGUUCUUGGUCAUGAAAUCCUUGUUUAAGCCAAUGACUAGAAGGGUUUUCCUGAUGUUAUCAUCUAGAAUUUUUAUAGUUUCAAGUCUUAGGUUUAUGUCUUUAAUCCAUUUUGAGUUGAUUUGUGUAUAAGGUGAGAGAUGAGGAUCCAGUUUAAUUCUCCUACAUGUGGCUUGCCAAUUAUCCCAACACCAUUUGUUGAAGAGGGUUCCUUUCCCUACUUUAUGUUUUCGUUUGCUUUGUUGAAGUUCAGUUGGCUCAAUAAAAGCUUCUUAAAACACCAUUUUGGCAUUUUUUUCUGAAAGAGAGAGUGAAGGAAAAUCUACAAACCGCAUUGUGAUCUAAACAAGACCGUCGGGACUAGAGAAGCAUGGCCAGGAGAAGGGACAGGGGAGAAAAUGUGGAAGGAGAGGAAGGAAGGAUAAUCCUGAGACUCUCAAAAGCAAAUAAUUGGAAAAAGUGGAAUAGAGAACUGGCUUGAGUUUACAAAUGAAUAAAUAAAACCCAGAUUUUUGUACUGACUGGUGUCGUGAUACUCUUACCUCUGCAAACCCACAGGCAGUUGCUUCAGACUUUUCCAAACACUAGAAAACCUCUUGAAGAAAUUUCAUAAUGUAACAGAAAGAAGAUUUAUUUUCACAUUUAUCAGUUCUGGAUUUCAAACAUGACAUUUACCAAAAGUCUAAUCUUGGAAUGGUAAACGUUUGAGAUUGAGUUUCUGUAUUAAUAAAGCAAAUAUACUUUUCUGAUAGAGGUUUUGAGAAGUAAAUGAGACAAUGUGUGUGAAAGUAACUAGAAAGUAGCUGACACAGAGCAGAUGUUCAAUAAAUGCUGAUUUUUCCCUUACCCAAUCUUCUGGACAAAGCAAAGAAACCAAGGCACAUUUGGGCCGGGCAUGGUGGCUCACAUCUGUAAUCCCAGCACUUUGGGAGGCCGAGGAAGGCAAAUCACAAGGUCAGGAGUUCGAGACCAGCCUGGCCAACACGGUGAAACCCUAUCUCUACUAAAACUACAAAAAAUUAGCCAGGCUUCAUGGUGGGAGCCUGUAAUCCUGGCUACUCAGGAGGCUGAAGCAGGAUAAUGACUUGAACCCGGGAGGUGUAGGUUGCAGUGAGCCAAGAUUGCUCCACUGUACUCCAGCCUGGGCGACAGUGAGAGGCUCCAUCUCAAAAAAAAAAAAAAGAGGGAAAAAAGAAACCAAGGCACAUUUGAAGCUAAAGGAAUAUCCAUUUAUGUUGUUCAAUGGGUCAGGGUGUAGUGAUCAUGGGGUGAGGAGUAGCCCCUCAUUUUCAGAAGCAGAGAAGGAUACCUUAAGUCUUCCAUCGCGCUUUGCCCUGGGAACCUAAGCAGUUAAUACUAUUUUCUUGAGGGGAGGGGAAUACUUAAGAUUUCAAAUUUAUGAUACCAUGAAUCUAUAUAAUUUUUAAACUAUAAACAUGCAUAGUCUAUUUGCAAGUGGGGUAAAACUUUGUGGAAUAUAAAAUUACCUUUAUAAUAAAAAAAAGCAAUGUAGUUACAAUAACAAUAAUAAAAAUCAGAUUUACAAAAAAUUUGAAAAUUACUUUCUCAAAUAAUUAUUAUGUCUGUAAAUAUUGUUUCCUGAUGUAUUUAAAA